GCUGGUUCGCAUCCUGCGUCAUCAUCGUUUUCCGCCAUUAGAAACAGCAUUUGCGCGCGAUGCUGCUGUUGAAAUUCAUGUGUGUCAACUGUGUUUGAUAGUGCAGCAUAGGGUUCCUUGUGAAGAUGUCAACAACUCACUGGGAAGACAAGACAGGAGAACCACAGCAAGAACAUCAGCUUUAGGGAUAGAGAUGUUGAAGAAAACCAUCUGUUUUUGCUGGAGGAACCUGGAGGAGAUGUCAUGGGACACAAGGACACAAGGAUCAGAGGGACGAACUGGGCAUGUGGAAUGGACACAGGCAAUUUCAGGGUUCUCUGCUCCUCUUAGGCUUUGGCAGGUGCUGCCACUGAAGUCCUGUACAUUCCAACAGAAGGCAUUUGGAGUGAUUCAGGGUAAGGGGAUGCGGUGGCGCAGUGGGUUGGACCGCAGUCCUGCUCUUUGGUGGGUCUGGGGUUCGAGUCCCGCUUGGGGUGCCUUGCGACGGACUGGUGUCCCGUCCUGGGUGUGUCCCCUUCCCCCUCCGGCCUUACGCCCUGUGUUGCCGGGUAGGCUCCGGUUUCCCGUGACCCCGUGA
This 577-nucleotide long non-coding RNA is filed under the name Scleropages formosus (Asian bonytongue). RNAcentral's name for it is "lncRNA (ENSSFOG00015030416.1)". Lineage: Eukaryota; Metazoa; Chordata; Actinopteri; Osteoglossiformes; Osteoglossidae. The record is from RNAcentral.